AGAGUUUGAUCCUGGCUCAGAAUCAACGCUGGCGGCGCGCUUAACACAUGCAAGUCGCACGAGAAAGUGGAGCAAUCCAUGAGUACAGUGGCGUACGGGUGAGUAACACGUGGAUCAUCUACCUCUUGAUGGGGAAUAACCCUGGGAAACCGGGGCUAAUACCGCAUAAGCCUGAAAAGGGAAAGCAGCAAUGCGUCGAGAGAGGAGUCCGCGGCCGAUUAGCUAGUUGGUAGGGUAAUGGCCUACCAAGGCAAUGAUCGGUAGCCGGCCUGAGAGGGCACACGGCCACACUGGCACUGAAACACGGGCCAGACUCCUACGGGAGGCAGCAGUGGGGAAUCUUGCACAAUGGGGGCAACCCUGAUGCAGCGACGCCGCGUGAGCGAUGAAGCCCCUCGGGGUGUAAAGCUCUUUCGGCAGGAACGAUUAUGACGGUACCUGCAGAAGAAGCUGCGGCUAACUACGUGCCAGCAGCCGCGGUAAUACGUAGGCAGCAAGCGUUGUUCGGAGUUACUGGGCGUAAAGAGUGUGUAGGCGGUUCUCUAAGUUCCGUGUGAAAUCUCCCGGCUCAACUGGGAGGGUGCGCGGAAAACUGGAGGGCUUGAGUAUGGGAGAGGAAAGCGGAAUUCCUGGUGUAGCGGUGAAAUGCGUAGAUAUCAGGAGGAACACCUGCGGUGUAGACAGCUUUCUGGACCAUCACUGACGCUGAGACACGAAAGCGUGGGUAGCAAACAGGAUUAGAUACCCUGGUAGUCCACGCCCUAAACGAUGCAUACUUGGUGUGAGCCGUUCAUUCGGUUCGUGCCGGAGCUAACGCGUUAAGUAUGCCGCCUGGGGAGUACGGUCGCAAGGCUGAAACUCAAGGAAUUGACGGGGGCCCGCACAAGCGGUGGAGCAUGUGGUUUAAUUCGACGCAACGCGAAGAACCUUACCUGGGCUCGAACGGCUUCGGACAAACUGU
Molecule: ribosomal RNA, 961 nt
Filed under: uncultured bacterium
Lineage: Bacteria
Description: bacterial SSU rRNA
Rfam family: Bacterial small subunit ribosomal RNA
Source: RNAcentral